CCAAUAGCGUAUAUUAAAGUUGCUGCAGUUAAAAAGCUCGUAGUUGAAUUUCGGGACUAAUAUGUUGGUCGUGCCUCGGUACGUACUGAUAUUUUUGGUUUCUCCCUUCUGACGAACCUUGAUGUCAUUAAUUUGGUGUCUUGGGAAAUCAGGACUGUUACUUUGAAAAAAUUAGAGUGUUUAAAGCAGGCUUACGCUUGAAUACAUUAG
This 210-nucleotide ribosomal RNA is filed under the name uncultured Glomus. RNAcentral's name for it is "partial small subunit ribosomal RNA". It matches the Rfam family "Eukaryotic small subunit ribosomal RNA", at positions 591 to 807 of the family's 1831-position model. Lineage: Eukaryota; Fungi; Glomeromycota; Glomeromycetes; Glomerales; Glomeraceae. The record is from RNAcentral.